GGGUUGUGAGGUUAAGCGACUAAGCGUACACGGUGGAUGCCCUGGCAGUCAGAGGCGAUGAAGGACGUGCUAAUCUGCGAAAAGCGACGGCGAGGUGAUAUGAACCCUUGACCCGUCGAUGUCCGAAUGGGGAAACCCAGUGUGUUUCGACACACUAUCGUUAACUGAAUACAUAGGUUAACGAGGCGAACCGGGGGAACUGAAACAUCUAAGUACCCCGAGGAAAAGAAAUCAACCGAGAUUCCCCCAGUAGCGGCGAGCGAACGGGGAGCAGCCCGGAGUCUGAAUCAGCUUGUGUGUUAGUGGAAGCGUCUGGAAAGUCGCACGGUACAGGGUGACAGUCCCGUACACGAAAGCACACAGGUUGUGAACUCGAAGAGUAGGGCGGGACACGUGGUAUCCUGUCUGAAUAUGGGGGGACCAUCCUCCAAGGCUAAAUACUCCUGACUGACCGAUAGUGAACCAGUACCGUGAGGGAAAGGCGAAAAGAACCCCGGCGAGGGGAGUGAAAAAGAACCUGAAACCGUGUACGUACAAGCAGUGGGAGCACCUUCGUGGUGUGACUGCGUACCUUUUGUAUAAUGGGUCAGCGACUUAUAUUCUGUAGCAAGGUUAACCGUAUAGGGGAGCCGCAGGGAAACCGAGUCUUAACUGGGCGUUAAGUUGCAGGGUAUAGACCCGAAACCCGGUGAUCUAGCCAUGGGCAGGUUGAAGGUUGGGUAACACUAACUGGAGGACCGAACCGACUAAUGUUGAAAAAUUAGCGGAUGACCUGUGGCUGGGGGUGAAAGGCCAAUCAAACCGGGAGAUAGCUGGUUCUCCCCGAAAGCUAUUUAGGUAGCGCCUCGUGAAUUCAUCUUCGGGGGUAGAGCACUGUUUCGGCUAGGGGGCCAUCCCGGCUUACCAACCCGAUGCAAACUACGAAUACCGAAGAAUGUUAUCACGGGAGACACACGGCGGGUGCUAACGUCCGUCGUGAAGAGGGAAACAACCCAGACCGCCAGCUAAGGUCCCAAAGUCAUGGUUAAGUGGGAAACGAUGUGGGAAGGCACAGACAGCCAGGAUGUUGGCUUAGAAGCAGCCAUCAUUUAAAGAAAGCGUAAUAGCUCACUGGUCGAGUCGGCCUGCGCGGAAGAUGUAACGGGGCUAAACCAUGCACCGAAGCUGCGGCAGCGACACUAUGUGUUGUUGGGUAGGGGAGCGUUCUGUAAGCCGUUGAAGGUGUGCUGUGAGGCAUGCUGGAGGUAUCAGAAGUGCGAAUGCUGACAUAAGUAACGAUAAAGCGGGUGAAAAGCCCGCUCGCCGGAAGACCAAGGGUUCCUGUCCAACGUUAAUCGGGGCAGGGUGAGUCGACCCCUAAGGCGAGGCCGAAAGGCGUAGUCGAUGGGAAACAGGUUAAUAUUCCUGUACUUGGUGUUACUGCGAAGGGGGGACGGAGAAGGCUAUGUCAGCCGGGCGACGGUUGUCCCGGUUUAAGCGUGUAGGUGUGUGUUCCAGGCAAAUCCGGUUCACUUUAACACUGAGGCGUGAUGACGAGGCACUACGGUGCUGAAGUGAUAAAUGCCCUGCUUCCAGGAAAAGCCUCUAAGCAUCAGGUAACACGAAAUCGUACCCCAAACCGACACAGGUGGUCAGGUAGAGAAUACCAAGGCGCUUGAGAGAACUCGGGUGAAGGAACUAGGCAAAAUGGUGCCGUAACUUCGGGAGAAGGCACGCUGAUAUGUAGGUGAAGUCCCUGCGGACGGAGCUGAAAUCAGUCGAAGAUACCAGCUGGCUGCAACUGUUUAUUAAAAACACAGCACUGUGCAAACACGAAAGUGGACGUAUACGGUGUGACGCCUGCCCGGUGCCGGAAGGUUAAUUGAUGGGGUUAGCGGCAACGCGAAGCUCUUGAUCGAAGCCCCGGUAAACGGCGGCCGUAACUAUAACGGUCCUAAGGUAGCGAAAUUCCUUGUCGGGUAAGUUCCGACCUGCACGAAUGGCGUAAUGAUGGCCAGGCUGUCUCCACCCGAGACUCAGUGAAAUUGAACUCGCUGUGAAGAUGCAGUGUACCCGCGGCAAGACGGAAAGACCCCGUGAACCUUUACUAUAGCUUGACACUGAACACUGGUCCUUGAUGUGUAGGAUAGGUGGGAGGCUUUGAAGCGUGGACGCCAGUCUGCGUGGAGCCGUCCUUGAAAUACCACCCUUUAAUGGCUGGUGUUCUAACGUGGACCCGUGAUCCGGGUUGCGGACAGUGUCUGGUGGGUAGUUUGACUGGGGCGGUCUCCUCCCAAAGAGUAACGGAGGAGCACGAAGGUUAGCUAAUCCUGGUCGGACAUCAGGAGGUUAGUGCAAUGGCAUAAGCUAGCUUGACUGCGAGAGUGACGGCUCGAGCAGGUGCGAAAGCAGGUCAUAGUGAUCCGGUGGUUCUGAAUGGAAGGGCCAUCGCUCAACGGAUAAAAGGUACUCCGGGGAUAACAGGCUGAUACCGCCCAAGAGUUCAUAUCGACGGCGGUGUUUGGCACCUCGAUGUCGGCUCAUCACAUCCUGGGGCUGAAGUAGGUCCCAAGGGUAUGGCUGUUCGCCAUUUAAAGUGGUACGCGAGCUGGGUUUAGAACGUCGUGAGACAGUUCGGUCCCUAUCUGCCGUGGGCGCUGGAGAAUUGAGGGGGGCUGCUCCUAGUACGAGAGGACCGGAGUGGACGCAUCACUGGUGUUCGGGUUGUCAUGCCAAUGGCACUGCCCGGUAGCUAAAUGCGGAAGAGAUAAGUGCUGAAAGCAUCUAAGCACGAAACUUGCCCCGAGAUGAGUUCUCCCUGAGACUAUAAGUCUCCUGAAGGAACGUUGAAGACGACGACGUUGAUAGGCCGGGUGUGUAAGCGCAGCGAUGCGUUGAGCUAACCGGUACUAAUGAACCGUGAGGCUUAACCUUACAACGCCGAAGCUGUU
Molecule: ribosomal RNA, 2930 nt
Filed under: Enterobacter bugandensis
Lineage: Bacteria; Pseudomonadati; Pseudomonadota; Gammaproteobacteria; Enterobacterales; Enterobacteriaceae
Description: bacterial LSU rRNA
Rfam family: Bacterial large subunit ribosomal RNA
Source: RNAcentral